RNAcentral lists this non-coding RNA (118 nucleotides) under Friedmanniella luteola. Its description in RNAcentral is "SAM-IV sequence". It matches the Rfam family "SAM (S-adenosyl methionine) riboswitch aptamer". From Rfam's summary of the family: SAM-IV is a mRNA element that regulates gene expression via direct sensing of S-adenosylmethionine (SAM or AdoMet). SAM-IV riboswitches share conserved nucleotide positions with the previously described SAM-I riboswitches sequence analysis and molecular recognition experiments suggest that SAM-I and SAM-IV riboswitches share similar ligand binding sites, but have different scaffolds. Lineage: Bacteria; Bacillati; Actinomycetota; Actinomycetes; Propionibacteriales; Nocardioidaceae. The record is from Rfam by way of RNAcentral.
GGUCAUGAGUGCCAGCUGCACGAGCCCCGGCUCGCUGGCCAGCAACCCUCCGGUACGGCGGGGUGCUCCGGGUGACGACCAGGUCGGCGACCCCCUCGGGCGUCGGCAAGCGUCCAGU